UCUGGUUCUAGAACUUCUAUUAUUAGUUCAUGCGUGUUUAGUUUUCGUUUGUUACAACGCUAAUCCUGAACAGGAGUUUUGGUUUGUUUUUAACGCUUACUGCAGUACUCCUUUAGUUCAUGAACAGAAUGAACACCCCUGAUGGAGUUACAACUUAAAGUAAUUAAAGUUAGACCAGAAGAGAUAUGCAGAGAAACUUGGACAGAAAGUGUGGAAAUGCAGAGUAAAGAUAUGCACAGCAUCCCAUGGCAGCCCCUUGCACCAACACUGAAGCAGUAAAUCAGUGUAGAAUUAACACAGCCCCAGGAUGGAAAAGGAAAAGUAGGAAGUGAAACAAAGACUCCUGAUAGACCUGAUAUUAACGCAAGUAAAAUCAAAGGCAGAAAGUGACAUAUCAGUGAGUAAAAUGUAAAGAGAAAAUAUUUUACUUGAAGAUACAAGAAAACUCAGCUAAGAUUUGAUUUCCCUAUGUCAUCAUUUUUAGAAGAGUCCAGAGGGUUCUAAAAUAAAUCAAAAAC
Molecule: long non-coding RNA, 518 nt
Filed under: Anas platyrhynchos platyrhynchos (common mallard)
Lineage: Eukaryota; Metazoa; Chordata; Aves; Anseriformes; Anatidae
Description: lncRNA (ENSAPLG00000028787.1)
Source: RNAcentral